CUUGCCCUACGGGGCGCAGCAGUGAGGAAUAUUGGUCAAUGGACGCAAGUCUGAACCAGCCAAGUCGCGUGAGGGAUGACGGCCCUACGGGUUGUAAACCUCUUUUGUCGGGGAGCAAAGAGAGUCACGUGUGGCUCAUUGAGAGUACCCGAAGAAAAAGCAUCGGCUAACUCCGUGCCAGCAGCCGCGGUAAUACGGAGGAUGCGAGCGUUAUCCGGAUUUAUUGGGUUUAAAGGGUGCGCAGGCGGAGGGGCAAGUCAGUGGUCAAAUUGCGGGGCUCAACCCCGUACUGCCGUUGAAA
RNAcentral lists this ribosomal RNA (301 nucleotides) under uncultured bacterium. Its description in RNAcentral is "bacterial SSU rRNA". It matches the Rfam family "Bacterial small subunit ribosomal RNA", at positions 333 to 632 of the family's 1533-position model. The record is from RNAcentral.